Molecule: transfer RNA, 77 nt
Filed under: Deinococcus soli (ex Cha et al. 2016)
Lineage: Bacteria; Thermotogati; Deinococcota; Deinococci; Deinococcales; Deinococcaceae
Description: tRNA-Met
Rfam family: tRNA
About the family: Transfer RNA (tRNA) molecules are approximately 80 nucleotides in length. Their secondary structure includes four short double-helical elements and three loops (D, anti-codon, and T loops).
Source: RNAcentral
ACGGACGUAGCUCAGCCUGGUAGAGCGCAAGACUCAUAACCUUGUGGCCGGUGGUUCAACUCCACCCGUCCGUACCA